Plectropomus leopardus (leopard coralgrouper) is the source of this 193-nucleotide non-coding RNA. The record is from RefSeq and is a predicted model, not a curated record. NCBI's taxonomy places the organism in Eukaryota, Metazoa, Chordata, Actinopteri, Perciformes, Serranidae.
GUCUCUCCUGCCUCCACCUGGAGCUUCAGAGGUUGAUGUGAAAGCCUGGCAGCUUCGUAAACUGCUGGAGAGCACCGAGUGUGACAUGAUCAGAGCGGUGCAGAGGAGGAUCAACAGAGAGCUGACGCUGGUAGUUUCAGAGCGAACUCGACAGGACACAGGACUCCCUACAGAGCUGUGGAAGAAAACCCCA